This 2053-nucleotide long non-coding RNA is filed under the name Sus scrofa (pig). RNAcentral describes it as "lncRNA (ENSSSCG00025058769.1)". Lineage: Eukaryota; Metazoa; Chordata; Mammalia; Artiodactyla; Suidae. The record is from RNAcentral.
AGCCUGCCCCGCCCGCUGAAGCUGAGUCCGAGGCGCUGUGCCGCCUGGUGAGCGUCCCCACCGCGUGCACUCGUCCCCACCUCCGUCCUCUCCGCGAUGCUCCCAUCCCGUCUUUCCUGUGGGCCAUGCUCUCUGCUCCCAGGCCUUCCAGACGAUUCGGGAUGGCAGCCGUCUACUACACGGAGUUUCAAAAGAAAAGAGAUCUGAGCCUCCUCCUCAAGCCUGGCCUCUUGGCAUCGUAGUCCAACGCCCAUCACCCCGGAGAGAACAGAAGCCGGUUGAGCACAGCUCGGUAACUCUUGGCGUCCUGCUUGCAUCAGCAGCAUGGCCGGCUUUGUGAAGCCCACCUACCCGCUGUCCUCCUUUGUCCCAGACCCUGCUCAGAACCUCAAAGCCCAGCAGCAGAACCUGGUCCCCUUCCUGGAAUCAGACUAUGACCGGCGGAUGCAGCAAUAGGCCCUGCAUCCCGUGCGUGUCACCCGCACCCAGAGGCGGCUCCAGACACCCAGUUCCUGCCCGUGCCUUUCCUUCUCCCACAUCCCGACCAGCUGGCAACACUCCAGGAUGCUCCAGUCGUUAGAAGGGAGUGGACCCGGCGAGGGAAAGAGGAGCAGCAUUGAUUCAAUGCAGCAGGAGCACAGAGAUGAGCCCAAAUCUCGACGAAAGAGGGGCCCUGACGCAGUGCCCCUUUCUCACUUGGCCCCCAGUCCACCGUCCAGUUCCUGGCGGACCACAGACCAGAGGUCACCGUUCUCACCAAGAUCAAAUGUCACGCCGGUCUGUGGUGGGGCAUCAGCCCUGCCAACCGGGCAGCAAUGGUCCAGGAGCUCGCCAAUGCCACGGCCAGCUCCAUCGCCGCGUCCUGGACCGUUCAGAGGUAACCUGGCACCACCCGAACCCACAGCCCUCUGAGCUCCCCGGCUCUUUGCGAGACUUCCAGGUAAACAUCAGGACCUUCCGAGUCCACAGCAGCAGAAAAGUGUAAGGACUAACCUUGAAUGAGGACCGCGUGGCUGUCAGGUACCGUGUGCGUCCAUCCUGCCUUCCUCUUCUCUCCUCUCUCUGUCCAAAAAAAAAAAUUCUGUUUUGAACUUAUUCCUUGUUUGCCAAUCCUUCACCAUGGUUAACUUUUUAGAAUUAAUUUGUUUGUGUUUUUAGUUUUAGAGAUGCGUAAUUGAGAAGCAUUAAGACAAGUGGAUGCGUGUAUACACGCAUCUGCAUAUAAAAUGAGUGCAAAGUUUGAUGAAUUCUCACACCCUGAACACACACGGGUAAUCAGCACGCAGAUGAAAAAGCAGAAGCUCACCCCCCACUCGGAAGCCCGCCUCGUGAUUCCCUCCUUAGCUACCUGCCUCCCAAGGGAACCACCGCUCUGAAUUGUAACAAUCUCUUUCCCCGUCUGUCUGUCUGUCUUGUCUUUUUUCUUUCUCAGUCACUGUGUUUUGCUUUGUUUCAUUUCACGAUAGAGAACACUAGAACAAAACAAAAACCAUUUGUUUUAUUUUAAAUUAUAUGGUUAGAAAAAAACCUUGUUUUUAGAAUGGACUUUCUGAGGGCAAACAAUAUGUUACUUGCCCCCCAAAUAUUUUGUCGUCAUGUUAGUAGACUCUUUUAUCUUUUUGCUCUGUGGUCUGUUUUGUGUUUUGUUGCAGGUUUGGGGGGAAGGCGUUUAGAACUUUAUUAUAACGGGCUGCAGUGAUGCGCUAGCUGAAGAAGAAUCAACCGUGUGUAUUUACGGUAACUGUUUCCUUGAGGCAAAACUUAAAUUCCCAGAUAAGAGUGCAACUCGGUGGCUUUUGAGUGAUGCAUGUACGCAUGUACCCAUGUCCCCGCUACUCCUGUCAACAGAGAGCACCUCUGUCGUCCCAGAGAGGCCCCUCACGGCCUUUCUCGUCCGGAUCCACGCACGCAGGGCUCUGCUUUCCAUCACCGUGGGGCAGUGCUCUCUGUCCCUGAACUUCACAUGCCCAGACCGUGGACCUGCGCUCACCUGGACAGCUGCGCUUUUGAGAUGCGUCCAUACUGUCGCAUGCAUGCGUUGUCUUUUCAAUGU